GGUAUAACCAGAGGCGCGAGGGCUGUCGCUGACCCUUCACGGGGUCGUGCACGCCCUGGGCGUCCUCGUACAAUCCACCUCACCUUUGUGCAUCACCGCGUGGGCCUCCUUUGAAAGGGGGGCUUGCGUUUUUCCACACACACAAACUCCGUCGUGUAGAAUGCCUUCAUUUUGCGGUCACACGCAAUCAAUAUAACUUUCAACAACGGAUCUCUUGGCUCUCGCAUCGAUGAAGAACGCAGCGAAAUGCGAUACGUAAUGUGAAUUGCAGAAUUCAGUGAAUCAUCGAAUCUUUGAACGCACCUUGCGCCCCUUGGCAUUCCGAGGGGCACACCCGUUUGAGUGUCGUGAAAUUCUCAACCUCCUCCCUUUUCUGGGAAGGAAGGCUUGGACUUUGGAGGCUUCUGCUGGCCCUGAAAGCCGGCUCCUCUUAAAGAAAUUAGUGGGAUCCCGUCCGCCGAUCCUCGACGUGAUAAGCCUUUUUGACGUCGUCUACGGAGAGGCAGAGGCCCGCUUUCGAAUGAAAUGAACGACCCUUUUGACCUCAAAUCGGGUGAGACUACCCGCUGAACUUAAGCAUAUCAAUAAGCGGAGGAAAAGAAACUAACAAGGAUUCCCCUAGUAACUGCGAGUGAAGCGGGAUAAGCUCAAAUUUAAAAUCUGGCGGUCUUUGGUCGCCCGAGUUGUAAUUUAGAGAAGCGUCUUCCGCGCUGGACCGUGUACAAGU
Molecule: ribosomal RNA, 727 nt
Filed under: Lactifluus multiceps
Lineage: Eukaryota; Fungi; Basidiomycota; Agaricomycetes; Russulales; Russulaceae
Description: eukaryotic LSU rRNA
Rfam family: 5.8S ribosomal RNA (bases 195-348)
Source: RNAcentral